UUUUUCUUACUAGAUUAACCCCAGGACAGCCGUUUGCUGUAUCAGCAGGUUUAUUACCCACUAUGCCUCUCGGGCUGUCACUUCACUCUUGAGUUUUUACAGCCCCAGGUUUCAGAGGUCCUUUUGUGACUACAGAGGCAUCCUGUUCCACUUGGUGCCCAAUAUAAGACACCAAAUGGCUGGGUGGCAGAGAAGAAUCUGAUUUUUUUUUUUUUUUUUUUUUUUUUUUUUUUUUUUUUUGGUUUUUCUGGACAGGGUUUCUCUGUGUAGCCCUGGUUGUCCUGGAACUCACUCUGUAGACCAGGCUGGUCUCGAACUCAGAAAUCUGCCUGCCUCUCUGCCUCCCGAGCCUCCCGAGUGCCCGGCUGAAGAAUCAGAUUUUAUUUUAAUGUAGUCACGGGGAUUUUUAUCUAAUCAGGUGCACUGGAAUACUAUCCCAAAGGUUUCUGGUCCUGGGUUUGUUUGCAGAUUUCAAGGACAAAGGUGUUAGAUCCAACUGAGUGGAGGGACAGGAGGGACGACAUCAGCAUAAGCUUAUACACUCUUUUUUAGUAAAAUUUAGAAGGCCACUCCAGGCCGGGAGGCAAGUGAUGUGAGAAUCGGAGUUCAGACGUUUGCUUGAGUUAAGUGUGACAACAGUGAAUGCAGAGGCUCUGUAGGCUGUACAGCUUUGCAUUGGUUUGGUACCCAAAUCUCAUCCCUGUUUCUCUGUAUCUGAUCUAGCAAGGUCAUCUGAUCCCUGUACCUUAUAGUAUUCGCCCUCAAAAGAGGGGAAACAAUGCCUAUUUGCAUAUAGAUUUUGUUUUGGUUUUGAGACAGGAUCUCACUCUUGGUGCCCUGGCUGGCUUUGAAGUUCUUGACAAUCCACCUUCUGUUUUCUGGUGUUACAGAGUGGGACCGUCAGACUUAGCUUUCCACGUAGUUUUUAGGAGUGCGAACACAUCAGUGCAUUGAGUCCGUAGGAGGGCACUCGUGCAUGUGUUGUAGUCACACUAUGCUGCGGAUUUUAGUUUCCUCCCUACUGGCCGUUCUUCAGAAUGCUAACUCCACAUACAGCAGUGAUCCUCUUCAGCACUGCCUCCUGAAAUGACCUAGCUGGUUUCUUGGGCAGCAGUGUCCUUUGGAGAACCAGAUAAGGGGAAUCACAGGCACAUGCUGGCUUCCAGGUGCUCAUUACUGCCUCGCUUUAAUCUCCAAGGAGGGCGUCACCACCCAGUUGUUCUCGGUCGUCAAAUUACUGUAUUUGAUGAGAUGAUUGCCCAUCCAG
Molecule: long non-coding RNA, 1267 nt
Organism: Mus musculus (house mouse)
Lineage: Eukaryota; Metazoa; Chordata; Mammalia; Rodentia; Muridae
Product: predicted gene, 46917
Exons: 2
Source: RefSeq, a predicted model, not a curated record